AGAUUGAACGCUGGCGGCAUGCUUUACACAUGCAAGUCGAACGGCAGCACGGGGGCAACCCUGGUGGCGAGUGGCGAACGGGUGAGUAAUGCAUCGGAACGUAUCUUUAAGUGGGGGAUAACGCAUCGAAAGAUGCGCUAAUACCGCAUAAUCUCCGAGGAGAAAGCGAGGGGAUCGCAAGACCUUGCGUCUUUUGGAGCGGCCAUGUCUGAUUAGCUUAGUUGGUGAGGUAAAGGCUUACCAAGGCUUCGAUCAGUAGCUGGUCUGAGAGGACGACCAGCCACACUGGGACUGAGACACGGCCCAGACUCCGUACGGGAGGCAGCAGGUCGGGUAAUUUGGACAAGUACGGGGGAAACCCUGACUCGAGUCCAUCGCCGCGUAGAGGUAGAACGAAGGUCCGUUCGGUUAGUAA
RNAcentral lists this ribosomal RNA (415 nucleotides) under uncultured soil bacterium. RNAcentral describes it as "bacterial SSU rRNA". It matches the Rfam family "Bacterial small subunit ribosomal RNA", at positions 26 to 430 of the family's 1533-position model. The record is from RNAcentral.